GACAAAUCCAUCUUUUCCACGAAUCAACUCCUUCACGACGGCUAACCUCCACAUAAGUCUAUUGGAAUCGUUGUGAACUUGAACGAUGUCUCCUACUUCAAUAGUUUGAACGUUAUUACCAGUUGCACGGUGGAAUUCUCGUAAAGAUGUCAAAUAUUCAUUCCUCCAACGUGUACGGAAAUGUUCAAUUAGUUGAUGUUGUCUCUGAAGUUUUUUGUUACAAGACGAAUGGUUAGAAUUGUGAAAGUUUUCAAUAUCAUCCAUUUGAUGUGGUAGCGAAUCCAAUCUCCUUCCGUUUAGUAAGUGUGAUGGCGUAAGUGGUUGUGGGUCGGUUAUGUCUGUUGAUAUAUACGUAAUCGGACGAUUAUUCAGCAUGCUUUCAAUUUCAGUCACUAUGGUUCGAAGCAUGUCAAUAGUAACAAAUGAUCGACCUAAUACUUUUUUAAUAGCAUUUUUGGUUAGUCCUAUAAGUCUUUCCCACCAUCCACCAAACCAUGGGGCUCUAUUUGGGAUAAAUUUCCAUUCGGUUCCGCGCUCCACCACUUUUUGUUGAAUUGAUUCGGCUGCAGCUUUAAAUGUAUUAGCGUUAUCUGACAUCAUUAUUCUUGGAAGUGAACGACGUGCCACAAAUCUCCUAAAAGCUAACAUGAAUGACUCUUCUUUCAUAUCCGGUACAAUUUCUAGAUGUACUGCUCGUGUUGCUGCACAUGUAAACAGGCAAAUAUAAGUUUUGCAGUCAAUGUUAUUUUGUCCUUUUGUACACAAAGCGCCUGUAAAGUCGACACCUGUAACAAAAAAGGGAAUAUUCAUCGUUAAGUCUAUCUUUCGGAAGCGGCGGUGGCUCAGGUGCGCGGUAAGGUUUUCCUGUUACUUUAUUGCACUGUGAGCAUUUUCUAAGGUGGUAUUUCACACAUUGACGAAUUCUCGGAAUCCAAAACUUCUGCUGAAUAUGCGCAAUGUGUGCUGUUUAGUCCAGAGUGUAGAUUUUUGUGAUGCAUGUCUCUAAUUAUCAACGACGUAAAAUGGUGUUUCGUUGGUAACAAAAUUGGAUACUUCGUAUUAUAAUCUAAUGGUGCGUUGUUUAGUCUUCCUCCGCAGCGCAAUAAUCCGUUGUCGUCCAAAUAAAGUCUAAGUUGUCUAACUAUAGCAACUUUAUGUUUCGAUGAUGGGUUCAAACUAUCAAUCUCGAGUUCAAAUGUCGUCCGCUGAACAUUACGAAUAAGUGUAUUUCGGCUUCUCCGAUUUCUUGAAUGCUGAGUAUUCCAAUCGUUCGCUCGCUUUUACGGGUCUUCAGAUUACGAAUAAAUCUUAACACGUAUGCUGUUAUUCUAACCAAUUUACUAAACGAGCUAUAUUUUUCAAUUUGAAUACAACUUGUCUUUGGUACAUUGUAUCUCAGCGUCCAUAGAUUCCUCUGUAAUUGUUGAAAAUGUGUUACAGUUUUCCACAUUUCUUGUCCAGUUUGGCCAUUCUGUCUUGUUGGCGA
Molecule: long non-coding RNA, 1486 nt
Filed under: Mytilus galloprovincialis (Mediterranean mussel)
Lineage: Eukaryota; Metazoa; Mollusca; Bivalvia; Mytilida; Mytilidae
Source: RNAcentral